GACCAAGGUUCGACUUGAGCGCCAGCGAGAGAGCGUUGCCGCAGGCAACGACCCGAAGGGCGAAGCGCGCAGCGCUGAGUAAUCCUUCCCCCACCACCA
RNAcentral lists this small RNA (99 nucleotides) under Escherichia coli. RNAcentral describes it as "partial RtT sRNA". It matches the Rfam family "RtT RNA", at positions 34 to 130 of the family's 130-position model. From Rfam's summary of the family: This family represents a bacterial cis-regulatory element known as RtT RNA. The exact function of RtT is unknown although it is thought that it may be involved in changing the cellular response in relation to amino acid starvation. Lineage: Bacteria; Pseudomonadati; Pseudomonadota; Gammaproteobacteria; Enterobacterales; Enterobacteriaceae. RNAcentral also lists the same sequence under 3 other names. The record is from RNAcentral.